CUCGUAGGCGGUUUGUCGCGUCUGCUGUGAAAACCCGAGGCUCAACCUCGGGCCUGCAGUGGGUACGGGCAGACUAGAGUGCGGUAGGGGAGAUUGGAAUUCCUGGUGUAGCGGUGGAAUGCGCAGAUAUCAGGAGGAACACCGAUGGCGAAGGCAGAUCUCUGGGCCGUAACUGACGCUGAGGAGCGAAAGCGUGGGGAGCGAACGA
Molecule: ribosomal RNA, 208 nt
Filed under: uncultured bacterium
Lineage: Bacteria
Description: partial 16S ribosomal RNA
Rfam family: Bacterial small subunit ribosomal RNA
Source: RNAcentral